GCUAGGCAUGGUGGUGCAUGCCUGUAAUCCCAGUGGCUCAGGAAGCUGAGGCAGGAGGAUCACAAGUUAAAAGCCAGCCUCAG
RNAcentral lists this small RNA (83 nucleotides) under Marmota monax (woodchuck). Lineage: Eukaryota; Metazoa; Chordata; Mammalia; Rodentia; Sciuridae. The record is from RNAcentral.